AGUGGCGAAAGGGAGAGUAACGCGUGGAUACUUACCUCGGGGUCUGGGAUAGCUGCGGGAAACUGCAGGUAAUACCGGAUAACGUUUCCGAACCAAAGGUGUGAUUCCGCCCUGGGAUAGGUCCGCGUCCUACUAGCUUGUUGGUGAGGUAACGGCUCACCAAGGCGACGAUGGGUAGCGGGUGUGAGAGCAUGGCCCGUCUCACUGGGACUGAGACACUGCCCAGACACCUACGGGUGGCUGCAGUCGAGAAUCUUCCGCAAUGGACGCAAGUCUGACGGAGCGACGCCGCGUGCGGGAUGAAGGCCCUCGGGUUGUAAACCGCUGUCAGUUGGGAGGAAAUGCCAUAGGGCACUCUCUAUGGUUUGACCAAUCUUCAGAGGAAGUCCGGGCUAAGUUCGUGCCAGCAGCCGCGGUAAGACGAACCGGACGAACGU
RNAcentral lists this ribosomal RNA (437 nucleotides) under uncultured bacterium. RNAcentral describes it as "bacterial SSU rRNA". It matches the Rfam family "Bacterial small subunit ribosomal RNA", at positions 94 to 541 of the family's 1533-position model. The record is from RNAcentral.